RNAcentral lists this ribosomal RNA (255 nucleotides) under uncultured bacterium. RNAcentral's name for it is "partial 16S ribosomal RNA". It matches the Rfam family "Bacterial small subunit ribosomal RNA", at positions 524 to 776 of the family's 1533-position model. The record is from RNAcentral.
UACGGGGGGGGGCAAGCGUUGUUCGGAAUUACUGGGCGUAAAGGGCUCGUAGGCGGCCAACUAAGUCCGACGUGAAAUCCCCAGGCUUAACCUGGGAACUGCGUCGGAUACUGGAUGGCUUGAAUUCGGGAGAGGGAUGCAGAAUUCCAGGUGUAGCGGUGAAAUGCGUAGAUAUCUGGAGGAAUACCGGUGGCGAAGGCGGCAUCCUGGACCGACAUUGACGCUGAUGAGCGAAAAGCUAGGGGAGCAAACAGG